UGGAACCCUAAACCAUGUUUUCAUUGGUGGU
RNAcentral lists this non-coding RNA (31 nucleotides) under Mus musculus (house mouse). The record is from RNAcentral. Lineage: Eukaryota; Metazoa; Chordata; Mammalia; Rodentia; Muridae.